UUACCUUCAAACCAAGUGUUCAUAUGGGAUCAGGCAAAAGCAGGUCCUGAAGGCAGGAUCCUGAAGAUCAGGCACCACCUGACAGAAUUCUCAAGCACCUGACUCAUCACCUCUGCAGUGCAUCCCUUUCCAGAAGUCCACUCUCCUGAUUCACCACCAGUGGAAGUUUUAACAAUGGAAACACCAUCUGUGCAAGGUGUCCACAUUGCUAGCUGGGCGGUGAAUGAUUCAGCUCCAAAAUCCCAUUUGAUUGCCUGCUCUUUCCAGACACAACUGCAGCAAACUGGAUUGUCUAGACACAGAUGAUGAGACAGAGUUUAGGGUGCAAGAAGCUAACUAGGGAUCAACACCUGUGUAAGGAAGCAGGUGGAAGCACAAUUGAAGUUGAGAAAGAUGAAGAGGUUGAACUGCCCUGCAGGCCAGAUAGAGCCUUGCCAAACCAGUGGGGAACUCGGAGGAAGUCCUGCCUGCCAGUUUCCCAUGUGGAGCCGAAACAGUCGUGCUUUUAUCUCUCCACCUUGCUCAGUCACCAGAUGCAGGCCACGCCCAGAAGGGUAUGUUUUUCUCUGCAGCUCAGACUGAUGUUGAGGAGCUGGGAGCUGGAAGCCACCUGCUGACUGCACUCCCUGCAGCUGGUCAGCCCAUCCUUCUCGAGGGGCAUCUGAAUGGCAUCUUCAUCAGGUCUACAAUUUUAUGUACAUGCCACAUUCUGGGCUUUCCCACUUUGAAGCAAUUAUCAGUUAUGAAUGUUAGGAACACUUUGUACAAGUUUUACCGUGACCAAAUGCUUUCAUUUCUCUUGGGUAAAUAUCUAGGAAUGGAAUUGCUGGGUCAUGAGAAUGCAAGGCUGGGUGCAGUGGCCCACGCCUGUAAUCCC
Molecule: long non-coding RNA, 877 nt
Filed under: Homo sapiens (human)
Lineage: Eukaryota; Metazoa; Chordata; Mammalia; Primates; Hominidae
Description: HSALNT0372341
Source: RNAcentral